CCCUACGGGGGGCAGCAGUGAGGAAUAUUGGUCAAUGGGAGAGAUCCUGAACCAGCCAAGCCGCGUGAGGGAAGACGGCCCUAUGGGUUGUAAACCUCUUUUGUCGGAGAACAAAACCCGGGACGAGUCCCGGACUGCAUGUAUCUGAAGAAAAAGCAUCGGCUAACUCCGUGCCAGCAGCCGCGGUAAUACGGAGGAUGCGAGCGUUAUCCGGAUUUAUUGGGUUUAAAGGGUGCGUAGGCGGUCCGUUAAGUCAGCGGUAAAAUUGCGGGGCUCAACCCCGUCGAGCCGUUGAAACUGGCAGA
RNAcentral lists this ribosomal RNA (305 nucleotides) under uncultured bacterium. Its description in RNAcentral is "bacterial SSU rRNA". It matches the Rfam family "Bacterial small subunit ribosomal RNA", at positions 337 to 640 of the family's 1533-position model. The record is from RNAcentral.